UUGCGGCGGGUUAAGGAGGCAUAGGAGGGUCUUUGAUGAUAUGAAGUGAGAGGUAGUGUGGAUCAGUUGUGGAAGAGGGUUCAGGGAGUUUUCUUUCUCUGUCAUCUAUUCAAAUAGGGGGAGAUUGGCUACUCUCACC
Molecule: non-coding RNA, 139 nt
Organism: Prunus avium (sweet cherry)
Lineage: Eukaryota; Viridiplantae; Streptophyta; Magnoliopsida; Rosales; Rosaceae
Source: RefSeq, a predicted model, not a curated record